Molecule: transfer RNA, 77 nt
Filed under: Halarsenatibacter silvermanii
Lineage: Bacteria; Bacillati; Bacillota; Clostridia; Halanaerobiales; Halarsenatibacteraceae
Description: tRNA_Cys_GCA
Rfam family: tRNA
About the family: Transfer RNA (tRNA) molecules are approximately 80 nucleotides in length.
Source: RNAcentral
GGCGGCAUAGCCAAGUCUGGAAAGGCAGAGGACUGCAAAUCCUUCAUCCCCCGGUUCAAAUCCGGGUGCCGCCUCCA